Molecule: non-coding RNA, 1975 nt
Organism: Camellia sinensis
Lineage: Eukaryota; Viridiplantae; Streptophyta; Magnoliopsida; Ericales; Theaceae
Source: RefSeq, a predicted model, not a curated record
AUAAUCCCCUCUCCAUGACCCUAAACAAAACAAAUGGCGCCAAAAGCCUACAGUCACUUGCUUCUCCUAUUCUCACAGACUCACCAUCCCUGCCAACAGCCACCGCCGCUGGCCAUUGUGACUCUCGCUACUGUAGGUCACCAUCGCGGCCCCCCCCCCCCCCCCUGUCAUCCACAUUCAGGUUUUUCUUUCUCUCUAUCCCUCUCUCUCCCUUCCCUCACCAUCGUGGAUCUAGGGUUUGAUUUUAUUUUUGUUGUAGGAUUUUGAUAAAAUCAUUUUAGGGUCUUACUCUUUUUCUACAUUUGAAGCAUAUAUGUCCUUAUCUAUCUACCCACUGCCCGUGUGGUUGUUGGAGAUAUUGACCCAAGGGCAGACCACCUGUGUGUAUACAAUAAUAUACAUAUGCGUUUUAGUUUCUCUACCAAAAUUCUCGAUUCGCAGAAAGUUUCAGAGUAGAGCUUCAAAUCCAGCUAAAGAGAGUCCCUCUCCUUCUAAAGUGAAGAAGUGGGCUAUUGACGAUUUGAGUAAAACCAUCUCAUGGCUGGAGAGCUAAGACGAAAAGGAUGUGGAUAAGUGGUCGUGAGUCAGCUGUCAACCCACUACAAUUUUGAAGAGAUUUUAAAGGGUUUUGGGCCGGAGUACAACAUUUCUGGACUCACGUAAGUUCGUAGAUUUUCAAGAUAGACUUACAAAUCCACUUCCAGAUAGAAGAACAAAACUGCUGAUAAUUUAAAAUACUAAUAAGCGCAUCCAGUAUGACAAUUUUUGGAAAAAAGAAUCUUGCUUUAUCUGUUAAGACUAAGCUGCCAGCUAAAAUGCAUUUAUUUAAAUUUGAAUGGAGGAGAAAAUCAUUAUAACUACACUCCAUGCCAAAAAUAGGAGUAUAGGACCUUGGAGAAAGGGGAAUGUAGACAAACAGAUUUAAGAGACCAAAAAGUUUCAUGCAUCUUUCCAUCUAUGUCCCCUAUUCUACUGGCUUUCAAUAUUGAUGCUUUAUUUUAGUGGGGGCAAAAUACUCUAGUCAAGUAUAUGCUUUAUUUGACAAUACACCCAUUCACAAAUUCACAACCAUUAUAACCCUCCACAUAUCAUAUUGUAAUUGCUUAACUCUAUGAGUAUGCUCCUCAUAUUUUACAAUCUAUAAACUUGAAGAUUGAAGUCAGGUUCAGACAUGAGUAAAUCUAAAUAGUACCAAUACAAAAACAUGUCCCCUGACAGAAAUAAUAAUGCUAAACAUCUUCCAAGUAUGGAGAAUUGGCUUAGUGACUAUUAGAUGUGGUUGGGAUGGAACUGGACUUGUGGGGACAUACGGCAUGUAAUUAGCACAUGUAGGUUGGGAGUUAGAGUCGAAAAUGCUUUAAACUUAGUCAAAAAAAUGCAUUCAGAGGGCAAAAAUGCAAAAAAGACCCCGAACCACUCUAUCGUUGUCAUGGGCAGCUUCCUCUUGACAAAUAGGACCUGUUGGGACAGACGGGAUGUAAUUGGCACACAUAGGUUGGGAGUUAGAGUCGACAACAUCUUAAAUUUAGUCGAAAAAGGGCAUUCAAUGGGUGAAAAUGCAAAACCACCCCCGAACCACUCUAUCGUUGUCAUGGGCAGCUUCCUCGUGACAAAUAGGACCUGUUAGGAUAGACGGGAUAUAAUUGGCAUACAUAGGUUGAGAGUUAGAGUAAAAAACGCCUUAAACUUUGGCGAAAAAAGGGCGUUUGGGGGGCAAAAAUGCAAAACAACCCUUGUACCACUCUAUGGAUGUCACGGGCAACUUCUUCGUGACAAAUAGGACUUGUCAGGACAUACGGAUGUAAUUAACACACGUAGAUUGAGAGUUAGAAUAAAAAACGCCUUUUACUUUGGCGAAAAAGGGCAUUCGAGAGGCGAAAAUGCAAAACAACCCUUGUACCACUCUAUGGAUGUCACGGUGUAGACACUCCAUUUUUGACCAACCUUAAGACUCAGACGUCACCAGUUGAGCACU